RNAcentral lists this transfer RNA (80 nucleotides) under Anaerobacillus sp. HL2. RNAcentral's name for it is "tRNA-Tyr". It matches the Rfam family "tRNA". Rfam says of the family: Transfer RNA (tRNA) molecules are approximately 80 nucleotides in length. Their secondary structure includes four short double-helical elements and three loops (D, anti-codon, and T loops). Further hydrogen bonds mediate the characteristic L-shaped molecular structure. tRNAs have two regions of fundamental functional importance: the anti-codon, which is responsible for specific mRNA codon recognition, and the 3' end, to which the tRNAs corresponding amino acid is attached (by aminoacyl-tRNA synthetases). tRNAs cope with the degeneracy of the genetic code in two manners: having more than one tRNA (with a specific anti-codon) for a particular amino acid; and 'wobble' base-pairing, i.e. permitting non-standard base-pairing at the 3rd anti-codon position. The record is from RNAcentral. Lineage: Bacteria; Bacillati; Bacillota; Bacilli; Caryophanales; Bacillaceae.
GGAGGUAGCGAAGUGGCUAAACGCGGCGGACUGUAAAUCCGCUCCUUUGGGUUCGGCGGUUCAGAUCGACCCCUCCACCA